AUAUAAAACAUCAAUAACAGAAAGUGGGAUGAUAAUAAGUUAUAAAAU
This 48-nucleotide non-coding RNA is filed under the name Trypanosoma lewisi. The record is from RNAcentral. Lineage: Eukaryota; Euglenozoa; Kinetoplastea; Trypanosomatida; Trypanosomatidae.